This 779-nucleotide ribosomal RNA is filed under the name Escherichia coli. Its description in RNAcentral is "partial 23S ribosomal RNA". It matches the Rfam family "Eukaryotic large subunit ribosomal RNA", at positions 593 to 1348 of the family's 3401-position model. The record is from RNAcentral. Lineage: Bacteria; Pseudomonadati; Pseudomonadota; Gammaproteobacteria; Enterobacterales; Enterobacteriaceae.
GUUGGGGAAUGGUUUGCAGAGGGUCCGCGGCUGGCCGUGGCGGCACUCUUCCCGACCCGUCUUGAAACACGGACCAAGGAGUCUAACGUGAGCGCGAGUCACAGGGAAAAACACUCCCUCGGGGCGCAGCGAAAGCGACGUGGUCCGAUCCUUCCGCGGGUGCGGAGGGCGCAGGACCGGCCCGUCGGGGGUCGUUACGGCCUCGGCGGAGCAAGAGCGCUCGCGUUGGGACCCGAAAGAUGGUGAACUAGGCCCGAGCGGGACGAAGCCGGGAGAAAUGCUGGUGGAGGUCCUAAGUGGUUCUGACGCGCAAAUCGAUCACGGAACUUGGGCGUAGGGGCGAAAGACUAAUCGAACCAUCUAGUAGCUGGUUCCCUCCGAAGUUUCCCCCAGGAUAGCUGGCGCUCGCCGAGACAGUUUCGUCCGGUAAAGCGAAUGAUUAGAGGAGUCCGUGCCGAAAUGGCGUGGAGCUAUUGUCAAACUUUGAACGGGCGAGAAGGGGUGCCUACCGCUCGAUCUGGGAGGCUCGGCCCCCGUCGAAAUGUACGAGUGCCAAGUGGGCCACUUUUGGUAAGCAGAACUGGCGCUGUGGGAUGAACCAAACGCCGGGUUAAGGCGCCCGAUCGUCACGCUCAGCAGAACCCACAAAAGGCGUCCAUCGGUAAAGACAGCAGGACGGUGACCAUGGAAGUCGGUACCCGCCAAGGAGUGUGUAACAACUCACCUGCCGAAUUGGUGGGCCCUGAAAAUGGAUGGCGCUGUAGCGUGCAGCCUACACC